This is a long non-coding RNA of Equus caballus (horse), 3181 nucleotides long. NCBI's taxonomy places the organism in Eukaryota, Metazoa, Chordata, Mammalia, Perissodactyla, Equidae. The record is from Ensembl.
GAGUUGAUAAAUACAAGAUUUCCUGUUUGAGUCAAGUUGUGGUAUUCAGUGCUGCGAUGGGGAAAAAUCUCUGCGUUAACAACAGCUUGAAUCAAGGGCAGCCUGUUCAGGGAGCCAAGAGCCCCUUUCCAGUGACCUGUAAGAGGGGCCCCUCCUUGUUUGGGACAGCCCCCAGGGAAAGAGACGCUGCCCAACUGAACCAGCUGAUCAUCCUAGAACUAACUGCUCCCCAGACUGCCGUCCCUCCUCGCUGGGGGCCACCUCUCCUGGUCAAGUCAGCUGCUAUGACAGAUGAACACAGACUGGGCAGCUUAAACAACAGACAUUUGUUGCUCACAGGUCCCGAGGCUGGAAGCGUGAAAUUGGGGUGUCUGCAUGGCCGUGUUUUGGUGAGGGCUCUCUUCCUGACUUGUGGAUGGCUGUGUGCUUCCUGGCAUCAUGCUGUGUGCUCAAAGAUGGAGUAAAGAAGACUGCCCUCCAACGUGGGUGGAUCUCAGCCAAUUGUCCAGGACUGGAAGAGGAAAAAAAGGUGGAAGGAAGGGAAAGUUGGUUUUGUCUGCCUGGCUGUUGAGCUGGAACAUGGAUCUUCCCCUGCCCUCAGACCAGGACCCGCACCAUCAUUUCUCCUGGUUCUCAGGCUUUUGAUUUGGACUGGAACUAUGCCACCAGCUCUCCUGGGUCUCCAGCAUGUAGAUGGCAGAUCAUGGGACUUCUGGGCUUCCAUAACCACGAACUUCGAGGGCGUGCUUUCUCCGGCCAUUAUAGGACACAUUAUUGGAGUUCCGCUGCAUAUAUUUGGCCCAUGGCCCAUAUGGUGGCACAAUCAGAGAGUACAGAGGCAGGGAAUGUUCCAGACCAUGCCCAUCAACUCUGAUUUAUGCUGAACUUUUCCCUGAUACUUCAGAAAGGGUCUUCCUCACCGAGUUCACCCCUCCGAUGCUCCUAGCGACUGUGUUACAAACACUGAACUGACACUGCAUGUGUUUUUUUCCCCUAGAGAUUGAGCAAUAAUCCACUUACCACUUCUAAACAGGACACAUGUUAUUGUCACAGAAAGCUGCCCUAAGGGAUGCUGCAGAGCCGCCUAGCUUAAAAUCACCCUAUAUUCUUUCUUUCUGACGUAUGAUUUUUAGCUAUUGUUAUAUAGAUCAUGUUGAUGUAGUAAUUGCAUUUUCUCUGGUUUUUAGAACUCCUUUACAUUUGUUAAAUCAGAAAUCCCUUCCGAACAGAAGUUUUCUGUUGUAUGUGACCAGCAUCUGCAUGAUUCAACUCACAAUGGUGCUUGAGGAAGUCGAUAUUAAUCCAGUGGUUAUCGCUGGGGAGUGGGGAUCAAAUGAGGGGUAGAGAGUUUUAUUUUCUAUUUCAUAAGCUUCUGUGUUGUUCAUUUAUUGUCACCAUAAGCAGAUGUCACAUUUCUAAUAACACAUAAAGGAAAUAUUUUCACAACGUGCACAAACAGUUGCAAAGAGGGUUAAAUUGGUAAAUCCCUCAGUUAUGCAUCCCAGGGAUCAGUCCCUUUCGAGGUACAAUUUAAUGGAAUCGAAGUCUAAUUCAAUUUUUGGACUUGCUUUCUGGGAGUCCUAGUUGCUCUGUGUUAGAAUGAUUGUGAGAUCCCCUGGGAAUUGCUUUCUGAGUACAAAACUUCAGAGAGUGGGAAGGAGCUGUUCCUGCUGCUGAAGGCAUUUGUUACACAUUUUCAGAAAUGAAUUUGAAGACAUUGCAAAGGCGAUAUUCUUUUUGCCAGUGUUUGAAUGAUUUUUAAAUAACAAUCUACUGGAAGUUUUUAAAUUUGGUAUUGCUGUUUAAUAUUAAUGAGCUUCCACAGUGUUAUCUAUCAUUCAUAAUAAAAAAAAAUCUCUCUGUAUAAGGAGAUACAAAGUUAUGCCGCCAUCAGGAUGAUUUUAAGUUAAAGGGAAAAUAAUCCUACCAACCUACAGAAAGACUGUAACCCUGUCUUUGUGUAGAUUUUCUUCCAAGCAUUUUGGUCAAAAUAUUUUUUAAGCUAGCCAUGUAGAUGGGAAGAAUGCAAGUCUUCUGAGAGUCAAUGAAUAUUCUGGAAAAUGUUUCAUUCAAUGAGUACAUUAAUUAGACUCUCUUGAUUCGAGGUGACAGAAACUGAAGUAGCAUAAGUGGAAAAGGUAAUAUAUUUGCUCAUGAAACUAAGUAUGGGGUAGGGGGUAUACAUGAUGAGUUUUAGGUGUGACUUGUUCCAGGGGCUCCAGCAACGUUGUUGGGCCUCUGUCUCUCUCUCUGCUUCUCUUGGCUCUGUUUCACUUAAAUGUUGGCUUCACUCUCAGGCAUGUUUUGACUGUAUGACGGGAAAGAUCACUCCUGGCUAGUGGGUGGGAGUGCCAAACUUGUUCCAAAAGGAAGAGAAAGCCACUCUUUUUCCCACAGUCCAUAUAGCAAAACCCAGGAAAGAUUCUAAUCGAACCUAUUGAAACGACCCCUGCCAGGGAGAUGGAGUUCAUUGGUUGGCCAGGUUGCAUCACCUUCCUGCUAUGAUGGGGGUUUGGGUGGGCCUCAUGGUGAACAACCCCACCAGGACAACGUGGAGUGGAGGAGGGGUUGUUCUAAAAAGAGAAGUCAUUGGAUGGACAAACCACAGUACCCACCAUGGAAAGCCACUUCCCUGGGAUCUGAUAAAUUCAUCAGCACCUAGGGAGACUGCCUAAUGGUAAUUACAUUCAGGCACUUGAUAAUUAAGUUGAUAUUGCAUUCUCUUAACUUUCAGUUCUAGCCUAGUAGUUGUAAAAAAUUACUUAGUUAUAAAUCACUUAGAACUCUUGCCACUUUUGUUCAACACAGUGUUGGAAGUCCUAGCCAGAAGCAAUUAGGCAAGAAAAAUAAAUAAAAGACAUCCAAAUCGGAAAGAAAGAAGUAAAACUGUCACUAUUUGCAGAUGACAUAUUAUAUACAGAAAACCCUAAAGACUCUCUCAAAAAACUGUUAGAACUAGUAAACAAAUUCAGUAAAGUUGUAGGAUACAAAAUCAAUAUGCAAAAACCUGUUGUAUUUCUAUACACUAAUAACAAACAAUAUAUCAGAGAAAUAAAGAAAACAAUCCCAUUGACAAUUUCAUCAAAAAGAAUAAGAUACCUAGGAAUAAAUUUAACUAAUGCAGUGAAAGAUCUGUAUAUUAAAAACUAUAAGGCAUUAGUGAAAGAAAUUGGAGAAAAAU